GCCGCCCCGGGCCUGCGCUUAGGGCGAGCACGGAACCCGGGGCGGAGCUUCCGGGGGAGCGCCUGCUCGCCUGACCCGCGUGCUCCAGGCAUCGCGGACGCCGGCCUCGCUGGGCACCCGCUCCCGGAGGCUCCGCACCUUCCAGACAGUUCUACCGCAGCCGGGAGGAGGGUGUGUGCGCGACUGCAGGUGAAGUCAGGUCUGGACGUCCCACAGGAUAGCAUUUUAAUCUAAAAUGAAAUUAACUAAAAGCUGCGAUAACAUCUUCCGGAACUCUAUAAAAAGCAUAAAUGAGCACCCGCAUGUCUGCUGAGAACUUGCCAACACGGAGCUUCCCGGGAAGAGUCUGCACCUGGCUGGGGACGCCCAGGAGCCUUCAGCUGCAGGGUUCAUGCUCUGUCCACACGUGCUGGUGGCCAAGGAUCAUGAUCAGGGCACAAAAUGUGUGUUAUCUGAUGGUUCCACGGCAAUCCAGUUUCUCCUAAGAUACGACUAUGCAGGUAAGCAUGUACCCAAUAACCUAAUCUAGAAUUGGGAUGAAGCUUUUGGGGUUGCUACCCACGAAAAAAAUAUGAACGUACCUCAUAAGGUGCCCUGCAGAAGAAAUGUAUUUAUAAGAAAUGUAGUCCACGAAUCUUAAUCCAAUUUAUUGCGAUCUCCAAAAACACUUUAGCCAGAUAAUUUUUAAAUUAAUUUUUAAUUCCCUACAAUGUAUCACCGUCGUGAGAGGUGACAGCCCGUUUUCCAUCCCUGGCAUAAAUUCUAAUCUCUCUUCCACCGAGGACCAGACGGGAUGGCCGGAACCGGCUGCAGAACCAGUCUCCGGGCGGUAGGUGGCAUUAGCCACCUCCUCAGGCUGGGGAAGGAGCAUCCUUUGUUGAAUGGUUUCUUUAUUCCACCUAGAGAGGCCAGAAUUCAGAUUGGCCUCAAAUACUGAUUCUGAGUCUGUAGAGGCUCUGCUGAUCCACCAAAUGGGUUCUUUUUUCCCCAACCUGCCAACUUCUAGUACCUUCUCCUGCCCUUCUCAGCACUUGACAUCCUGUGACAUUACCAAGUCUGAACUGUGCUGUGAAGGCAUGUCAGUACGGGGCUGGGGGAAGGGUGGUGGUGAGGACAACUCCGCACGUUGUCACUACACGCACACUCGCACAUGCGUGUUUGUUUACCUGAAGGUCCAGGUCCCGGGGUGUGAUCAUUGCAGAUACAGGACACUUGGUUGGCCACGAGUGUUUGUUAUCGCUGUGUGUGUUUCUAUGCAGCUGCUCGUUGUCUUGCGUCAACCUUUCACAGGGAGACCGUAUUGCGUGCACGCCCAUGCGUGACUCUGUCUUCUCUAAGUCCUUUUGGUGCUAAUUCUCUGCUCCUGGUUAUAAUUCCUGCAUCGGUUUUGAGGAACUAAGGACACAGAUGAACUUGACUUGGUGUCACAAACAAGAUCCCUUGUCAAUCAGAAGUCAUUCUUAAGAGAGCUGAGAAGUUUUAGGGGCGCCCCGGUGGCUCUGUCGGUUGAGCGUCCGGCUUCAGCUCAGGUCACAACCUCACAGUUCACGAGUUUGAGCCCCGCGUCGGGCUCUGUGCUGACAGCUCAGAGCCUGGAGCCUGCCUCAGAUUCUGCGUCUUCCUCUCUCUCUGUCCCUCCCCAAUUUGUGCUCGCUCUCUCUCUCUCUCUCUCUCAAAAUAAACAUUAAAAAAAAUCUUUAAGAGAGCUGAGAAGUUUUAACCAGGGAAGCACCUUCAGGCUGUGUGGCCCCAACAGCUCACGUCUCAACAGGGACCCUUACAGACCCUGGCUCUCCAUCCAUGUUGUCUCAUUUGAAUGCAUGGGCCUUUGUCCCGCUGACCUUGGCGCCCUCUCACAGUCUGCUCUGGCAUGGAGAGGUCGCCACACGGAGUGGACACCUGGGGUGUCCAAUAGGCACUGUGAGUGAAGCUGGCCCUUCCUGUCUGUGGAAGGGAUUCAGGGCACAGAGGUCUGGGAAACACUGCAAACACACACAUUCCUUAGAGACACAGCUCAGCGACCCACCACUAACAGCCAAUCAUUGGUUCUUGGUGCACAGCAGAGGCCAUCCCAACCCGGGAAGCUGACUGGUUCGACUUUGGUUAAAUCAAUGACCACAGUGGUCUUACACUUGCCUAAAUUCCUCGAAAGUCCGCCACACCCACAACAGCUUCCUGCACAGGGGCAGGACUAAGGUAGGCCAGGAUUUUUAUUUUAAUCCUCUGGAAUCUGUCUUCUUGAACCUUUUCCAGAGUUGCUGUGUGAACGUUGGCCCAGCGCCACGGCGCCCCCGUUGGAGUCCAGUGGGCAGGAUAGGGCAAAAUGCAUGACGUUCAAGGCACCUCUACUCAGCCAGCUCGGGAGCCUCUGUGCCCGUUCCCAGUAGCUGCCCUCCAGGAAGUUCAGGGGCAAUGUCAGGGAUUUGGCAAAAUACUAACUCUUGGUGCUGGGAACAAAUUUGGAUUUGCUUCAAAUCCAGAAAGGAUUCUCAGUUCAGAUGGUCUCCAAACUGGCUCACUCAUUUUGGGUUUUCACGGUUGGGGCGAUUUUCCUGUAAAAUAGCUGCUGCCUUCAAAUUCCUUGCUCUGGGGGCACCUGGGUGGCUCAGUGGGUUAAGCAUCCAACUUCAGCUCAGGUCAUGCACGAUCUUGCGGUUGGUGGGUUUGAGUCCUGAGUUGGGCUUUGUGCUGACAGCUCAGAGCCUGGAAUCUGCUUCAGAUUCUGUGUGUCUGUCUCUGCCCCUCUUUCACUUGCAUUGUCUCUCUCUCUCUCUCUCUCUCUCUCUCUCUUUCUCUC
This is a long non-coding RNA of Neofelis nebulosa (Clouded leopard), 2797 nucleotides long. RefSeq lists it as uncharacterized. The record is from RefSeq and is a predicted model, not a curated record. The transcript has 3 exons. Lineage: Eukaryota; Metazoa; Chordata; Mammalia; Carnivora; Felidae.